CGCAUCUGUGCAUGCAGCAUAUCAAUAAGCGGAGGAAAAGAAACUGACAAGGAUUCCCCUAGUAACGGCGAGUGAAGCGGGAAGAGCUCAAACUUGAAAUCUUAAAGGGUUUCCCUUUACGAAUUGUAGUUUAAAGAAGUGUUUUCUGUUGAGGUUUUGGUAAAAGUUCUUUGGAAUAGGACAUCAUAGAGGGUGAGAAUCCCGUAUUUGACCUUUACUUUCAACUUUGUGAUACACUUUCAAAGAGUCGGAUUGUUUGGGAAUGCAGUCCAAAAUGGGUGGUAAAUUUCAUCUAAAGCUAAAUAUUGGCGAGAGACCGAUAGCGAACAAGUACCGUGAGGGAAAGAUGAAAAGAACUUUGAAAAGAGAGUUAAACAGUACGUGAAAUUGUCAAAAGGGAAGCGUUUGACACCAGUGUUGUUUUUCUGAAAAUCAAUUAAAGAACUGUUUAUGCUAAGUUGUUUAGACUUUAUCAGCUAACUGUUUAGUUUUGAGCUUUUCUUUAAUGCACUUUUCAGUUAACAAGUCAACAUCAAUUUCUUUUGCUGUAAAAAAGCUUGAGGAAGGUGGCUUGAGAUUCGUCUUAAGUGUUUAUAGCCUCUUGCCUAUGCAGUCGGAGAGAUUGAGGUCUGCAGCGUAGAUCCUUCGGGGCUAAAUGCAUUUGUGCUAAGUUAUAACAUUUUAUAGACAACUUGUUGACUAUGAUUUGUCUUGUAGCUUACUCGCUUAUGUUAUUUUACCUACGCUUAGGAUGUUGAGCGCAUGUCUCUCUCU
Molecule: ribosomal RNA, 774 nt
Filed under: uncultured Neocallimastigales
Lineage: Eukaryota; Fungi; Neocallimastigomycota; Neocallimastigomycetes; Neocallimastigales
Description: partial large subunit ribosomal RNA
Rfam family: Eukaryotic large subunit ribosomal RNA
Source: RNAcentral